GAUGAACGCUGGCGGCGUGCCUAACACAUGCAAGUCGAGCGAACAGACCAUGAGCUUGUUCCUUCCACGUUUGCGGCGGACGGGUGUGUAACACGUAUAUCAUCUACUUAUAUGUCUGGGAUCAUCUCGGGAAACCGGAGCUUAUCCCGGAUAAUCUUCCGAUCCGUUUGGUUCGUUAGUGAAUGAUGGCUUUGCUAUAUCUAAUAGCUGCUUCUGGGCCGUAUUAGCUAGUUGGUAAGGUAACGGCUUACCAAGGCUACGAUACGUAUCCGACCUGAGAGGGGGAUCGGCGACACUGGAAGUGAGACACGGUCCAGACUCCUACGGGAGGCAGCAGUAGGGAAUCUGCCGCAAUGGGCGAAAGCCUGACGGAGCAACGCCGCGUGAGUGAUGAAGGUCUUCGGAGCGUAAAGCUCUGUUAUUGGGUAAGAACAGACGUGGAAGGAACUGUACACGUCGUGACGGUACCUAAUCAAAAAGCAACGGCUAACUACGUG
This 497-nucleotide ribosomal RNA is filed under the name uncultured bacterium. Its description in RNAcentral is "partial 16S ribosomal RNA". It matches the Rfam family "Bacterial small subunit ribosomal RNA", at positions 28 to 507 of the family's 1533-position model. The record is from RNAcentral.